RNAcentral lists this ribosomal RNA (212 nucleotides) under uncultured bacterium. RNAcentral describes it as "partial 16S ribosomal RNA". It matches the Rfam family "Bacterial small subunit ribosomal RNA", at positions 126 to 334 of the family's 1533-position model. The record is from RNAcentral.
CUACCCAAGGGUAUAGAAUAACUCAGAGAAAUCUGGGCUAAUACUGUAUAAUGCAGCGGCAUCGCAUGGUGAUGUUGUUAAAGCUAUUUAUAGCGCCUUUGGAUGAGCUUGCAUCUGAUUAGCUAGUUGGUAAGGUAAAAGCUUACCAAGGCUACGAUCAGUAGCUGGUCUGAGAGGAUGAUCAGCCACACUGGAACUGAGACACGGUCCAG